GUGAAAUUGUUGAAAGGGAAACGCUUGAAGUCAGUCGCGUCUUUCAGGACUCAGCCUUGCCUCGGCUUGGUGUACUUCCUGUUUGACGGGCCAGCAUCAAUUUUGACCAGUGGAAAAAGGCAGAGGGAAUGUGGCACCUCCGGGUGUGUUAUAGCCCUCUGUUGUAUACACUGGUUGGGAUUGAGGACCGCAGCACGCCUUUAUGGCCGGGGUUCGCCCACGUAACGUGCUUAGGAUGCUGGCGUAAUGGCUUUAAACGACCCGUCUUGAAACACGGACCAAGGAGUCA
This 289-nucleotide ribosomal RNA is filed under the name uncultured fungus. Its description in RNAcentral is "partial 28S ribosomal RNA". It matches the Rfam family "Eukaryotic large subunit ribosomal RNA", at positions 399 to 676 of the family's 3401-position model. Lineage: Eukaryota; Fungi. The record is from RNAcentral.